This 440-nucleotide ribosomal RNA is filed under the name uncultured bacterium. RNAcentral's name for it is "partial 16S ribosomal RNA". It matches the Rfam family "Bacterial small subunit ribosomal RNA", at positions 338 to 795 of the family's 1533-position model. The record is from RNAcentral.
CCUACGGGAGGCAGCAGUGGGGGAUAUUGCACAAUGGGGGGAACCCUGAUGCAGCGACGCCGCGUGGGUGAAGAAGCGCCUCGGCGCGUAAAGCCCUGUCAGCAGGGAAGAAAAUGACGGUAGCUGAAGAAGAAGCACCGGAGAAACACGUGCCAGCAGCCGCGGUAAUACGUAGGGGCAAAGCGUUAUCCGGAUUUACGGGGGGUAAAGGGGACGCAGACGGCGUUGCAAGCCAGGAGUGAAAGCCCGGGGCCCAACCCCGGGACUGCUCUUGGAACUGGGUGGCUGGAGUGCAGGAGGGGCAGGUGGAAUUCCUGGUGUAGCGGUGAAAUGCGUAGAUAUCAGGAGGAACACCGGUGGCGAAGGCGGCCUGCUGGACUGCAACUGACGUUGAGGCCCGAAAGCGUGGGGAGCAAACAGGAUUAGAUACCCUGGUAGUC